This 253-nucleotide ribosomal RNA is filed under the name uncultured bacterium. RNAcentral's name for it is "partial 16S ribosomal RNA". It matches the Rfam family "Bacterial small subunit ribosomal RNA", at positions 524 to 776 of the family's 1533-position model. The record is from RNAcentral.
UACGUAGGGUGCGAGCGUUGUCCGGAAUUACUGGGCGUAAAGCGUGCGUAGACGGUAGCGUAAGUCAGAUGUGAAAGCCCCGGGCUCAACCUGGGAAUUGCAAUGGAUACUGGCGGGCUAGAGUGUGUCAGAGGAUGGUGGAAUUCCCGGUGUAGCGGUGAAAUGCGUAGAGAUCGGGAGGAACAUCAGUGGCGAAGGCGGCCAUCUGGGACAACACUGACGCUGAAGCACGAAAGCGUGGGGAGCAAACAGG